AUGAACGCUAGCGGCAGGCUUAACACAUGCAAGUCGAGGGGCAGCACAGGUAGCAAUACUGGGUGGCGACCGGCGCACGGGUGCGUAACGCGUAUAGAACCUACCUUUUACAGAGGGAUAGCCCAGAGAAAUUUGGAUUAAUACCUCAUAGAAUUAUAGAGUGGCAUCAUUUAAUAAUUAAACAUUUAUGGGUAAGAGAUGGCUAUGCGUCCUAUUAGUUAGUUGGAGAGGUAACGGCUCACCAAGACAGCGAUAGGUAGGGGUCCUGAGAGGGAGAUCCCCCACACUGGUACUGAGACACGGACCAGACUCCUACGGGAGGCAGCAGUGAGGAAUAUUGGUCAAUGGGCGCAAGCCUGAACCAGCCAUGCCGCGUGCAGGAAGAAGGUCCUAUGGAUUGUAAACUGCUUUUAAACAGGAAGAAACACCCCGACGAGUCGGGGCUUGACGGUACUGUAAGAAUAAGCACCGGCUAACUCCGU
Molecule: ribosomal RNA, 482 nt
Filed under: uncultured bacterium
Lineage: Bacteria
Description: bacterial SSU rRNA
Rfam family: Bacterial small subunit ribosomal RNA
Source: RNAcentral